GAUGAACGCUAGCUACAGGCUUAACACAUGCAAGUCGCGGGGCAGCAUGGGGGUUGCUUGCCAUCCCUGAUGGCGACCGGCGCACGGGUGAGUAACGCGUAUCCAACCUGCCCUUCACCACGGGAUAACCCGGCGAAAGUCGGACUAAUACCGUAUGUUGUCCAUUGACGGCAUCCGAUUUGGACGAAAGGCUUAGCGGUGAGGGAUGGGGAUGCGUCCGAUUAGCUUGACGGCGGGGUAACGGCCCACCGUGGCUACGAUCGGUAGGGGUUCUGAGAGGAAGGUCCCCCACACUGGAACUGAGACACGGUCCAGACUCCUACGGGAGGCAGCAGUGAGGAAUAUUGGUCAAUGGGCGUAAGCCUGAACCAGCCAAGUAGCGUGCAGGAUGACGGCCCUAUGGGUUGUAAACUGCUUUUAUGCGGGGAUAAAGGGACCCACGUGUGGGUUUUUGCAGGUACCGCAUGAAUAAGAACCGGCUAAUUCCGUG
RNAcentral lists this ribosomal RNA (490 nucleotides) under uncultured bacterium. Its description in RNAcentral is "partial 16S ribosomal RNA". It matches the Rfam family "Bacterial small subunit ribosomal RNA", at positions 28 to 507 of the family's 1533-position model. The record is from RNAcentral.